This 468-nucleotide ribosomal RNA is filed under the name uncultured bacterium. RNAcentral describes it as "partial 16S ribosomal RNA". It matches the Rfam family "Bacterial small subunit ribosomal RNA", at positions 28 to 507 of the family's 1533-position model. The record is from RNAcentral.
GACGAACGCUGGCGGCGUGCUUAACACAUGCAAGUCGAACGGAAAGGCCCUGCUUUUGUGGGGUUCUCGAGUGGCGAACGGGUGAGUAACACGUGAGUAACCUGCCCUAGACUUUGGGGUAACUUCAGGAAACUGGGGUUAAUACCGGACAGGAGAUCCUCUUCCAUGGAGGGGGUGGGAAAUUUUCGGCGGUCGGGGAUGGACUCGCGGCUUACCGGCUUGUUGGUGGGGUAGGGGAUUACCAAGGCUGUGACGGGUAGCCGGCCGGAGAGGGUGAACGGCCACAUUGGGACUGAGGUAGGGCGCAGAGUCCUACGUUAGGCAGCAGUGGGGAAUAUUGCCCAGUCGUAGGAAGCCUGAUGCAGCGACGCCGCGUGUGGGAUGACGUCCUGUGGGUUGUAAACCGCUUUCGCCUGUGACGAAGCGUGUGUGACGGUAAUGGGUAAAGAAGCACCGGCUAACUACGUG